CCCUUAGAUGUUCUGGGCUGCACACGUGCUACACUGGCAGGUUCAGCGAGCUUCAUGCCCUGAUCUGAAAGGAAUGGGAAAUCUUUUCAAAACCUGCCGUGCUUGGGAUAGAUGUUUGCAAUUAUUCAUCUUCAACGAGGAUUGCCUUGUAAGCGCACGUCAUCAGCGUGCAUUGAAUACGACCCUGUAUUCUGUACACACCGCCCGUCGCUCCUACCGAUUGAAGUUUUCGGUGAGUUGACAGGAGGAUUUUUUUGAAACUGGUUCGCCAGUGGAUUUUAGAUCCAAAUGCCAACGAAUCGAUGGCUUUAGAGGAAUGAGAAGUCGUAACA
This 332-nucleotide ribosomal RNA is filed under the name uncultured eukaryote. RNAcentral's name for it is "partial 18S ribosomal RNA". It matches the Rfam family "Eukaryotic small subunit ribosomal RNA", at positions 1470 to 1796 of the family's 1831-position model. The record is from RNAcentral.